This 245-nucleotide ribosomal RNA is filed under the name uncultured bacterium. RNAcentral describes it as "partial 16S ribosomal RNA". It matches the Rfam family "Bacterial small subunit ribosomal RNA", at positions 524 to 768 of the family's 1533-position model. The record is from RNAcentral.
UACGGAGGGUGCAAACGUUGCUCGGAAUCAUUGGGCGUAAAGCGCACGUAGGCUGUCUGCUAUGUCCGAUGUGAAAGCCCUCGGCUUAACCGAGGAAGUGCAUUGGAAACUGGCAGGCUGGAGUACAGAAGAGGGUCGCGGAAUUCCCGGUGUAGAGGUGAAAUUCGUAGAUAUCGGGAGGAACACCAGUGGCGAAGGCGGCGACCUGGGCUGAUACUGACGCUGAGGUGCGAAAGCGUGGGGAG